Molecule: ribosomal RNA, 1444 nt
Filed under: uncultured archaeon
Lineage: Archaea
Description: 16S ribosomal RNA
Rfam family: Archaeal small subunit ribosomal RNA
Source: RNAcentral
UUCCGGUUGAUCCUGCCAGAGGCCACUGCUAUUGGAAUACGACUAAGCCAUGCGAGUCAAGGGGCUCUUCGGAGCACCGGCGUACGGCUCAGUAACAUGUGGGUAACCUACCCUCAGGUGGGAGAUAACCUCGGGAAACUGAGGCUAAUAUCCCAUAGAUAAAAGAUACUGGAAUGUUUUUUUAUCGAAAACUCUUGUGCCUGAGGAUGGGCCUGCAUCCGAUUAGGUUGUUGGUGAGGUAAUGGCUCACCAAGCCUACGAUGGGUACGGGUCGUGAGAGCGAUAGCCCGGAGAUGGGGACUGAGACAAGGCCCCAGGCCCUACGGGGCGCAGCAGGCGCGAAAUCUCUCCAAUGUGUGAAAACAUGAGAGGGGUAUUCCAAGUGCCCUUGUUAUGCAAGGGAUUUUCUUUGGUCCAAGACGCCGAAGGAAUAAGAGCUGGGUAAGACCGGUGCCAGCCGCCGCGGUAACACCGGCAGCUCGAGUGGUGGCCACUAUUAUUGGGCCUAAAGCGUUCGUAGCCGGGCAGGUAAGUGCUUUGGUAAAUCCCAUAACUUAAUUAUGGGGCUUCAGAACAUACUGCCUGCCUUGAGACCGGGAGAGGCUGGAGGUACUUUCGGGGUAGGGGUAAAAUCCUAUAAUCCCGAAGGGACCACCGGUGGCGAAGGCGUCCAGCCAGAACGGGUCUGACGGUGAGGGACGAAACCCAGGGGAGCGAGUCGGAUUAGAUACCCGGGUAGUCCUGGGCGUAAAUGAUGUGGGCUAGGUGCAAAGCUACCUAAGUGGUAGCUUGGUGCCGAUGGGAAGCCGUUAAGCCCACCGCCUGGGGAGUACGGUCGCAAGGCUGAAACUUAAAGGGAAUUGGCGGGUGAGCACCACAAGGGGUGGAGGCUGCGGUUUAAUUGGAUUCAACGCCGGGGAAACUCACCGGGGGCGACAGCAGUAUGAAGGUCAGGCUGAUGACCUUACCAGACAAGCUGAGAGGAGGUGCAUGGCCGUCGUCAGCUCGUACCGUGAGGCGUCCUGUUAAGUCAGGUAACGAGCGAGACCCUCGCCCACAGUUGCCAGCAGAUCGUUUUAGAUGCUGGGGACUCUGUGGGGACCGCUGGUGCUAAAUCAGAGGAAGGAGAGGACGACGGUAGGUCAGUAUGCCCCAAAUCUCCCGGGCUACACGCGGCCUACAAUGGGCGAAACAAUUGGUUCCGACCCAGAGAUGGGAAGGUAAUCCCCUAAAUUCGCUCUAAGUUCGGAUCGAGGGCUGUAACUCGCCCUCGUGAAGCUGAAAUCCCUAGUAAUCGCGUGUCAUCAUCACGCGAUGAAUGUGUCCCUGCUCGUUGCACACACCGCCCGUCAAGCCACCUGAGUGAGGUUCAGAUGAGGCCUUGUCCCUCGGGUAAGGUCGAAUCUGAGUUUCGCAAGGGGGGCUAAGUCGUAACAAGGUAGCC